This 1243-nucleotide ribosomal RNA is filed under the name Salmonella enterica. Its description in RNAcentral is "partial 23S ribosomal RNA". It matches the Rfam family "Bacterial large subunit ribosomal RNA", at positions 1578 to 2802 of the family's 2925-position model. RNAcentral also lists the same sequence under 1 other name. The record is from RNAcentral. Lineage: Bacteria; Pseudomonadati; Pseudomonadota; Gammaproteobacteria; Enterobacterales; Enterobacteriaceae.
UACGGUGCUGAAGCAACAAAUGCCCUGCUUCCAGGAAAAGCCUCUAAGCAUCAGGUAACAUCAAAUCGUACCCCAAACCGACACAGGUGGUCAGGUAGAGAAUACCAAGGCGCUUGAGAGAACUCGGGUGAAGGAACUAGGCAAAAUGGUGCCGUAACUUCGGGAGAAGGCACGCUGACACGUAGGUGAAGUGAUUUACUCAUGGAGCUGAAGUCAGUCGAAGAUACCAGCUGGCUGCAACUGUUUAUUAAAAACACAGCACUGUGCAAACACGAAAGUGGACGUAUACGGUGUGACGCCUGCCCGGUGCCGGAAGGUUAAUUGAUGGGGUCAGCGCAAGCGAAGCUCCUGAUCGAAGCCCCGGUAAACGGCGGCCGUAACUAUAACGGUCCUAAGGUAGCGAAAUUCCUUGUCGGGUAAGUUCCGACCUGCACGAAUGGCGUAAUGAUGGCCAGGCUGUCUCCACCCGAGACUCAGUGAAAUUGAACUCGCUGUGAAGAUGCAGUGUACCCGCGGCAAGACGGAAAGACCCCGUGAACCUUUACUAUAGCUUGACACUGAACAUUGAGCCUUGAUGUGUAGGAUAGGUGGGAGGCUUUGAAGCGUGGACGCCAGUCUGCGUGGAGCCGACCUUGAAAUACCACCCUUUAAUGUUUGAUGUUCUAACGUGGACCCGUAAUCCGGGUUGCGGACAGUGUCUGGUGGGUAGUUUGACUGGGGCGGUCUCCUCCUAAAGAGUAACGGAGGAGCACGAAGGUUGGCUAAUCCUGGUCGGACAUCAGGAGGUUAGUGCAAUGGCAUAAGCCAGCUUGACUGCGAGCGUGACGGCGCGAGCAGGUGCGAAAGCAGGUCAUAGUGAUCCGGUGGUUCUGAAUGGAAGGGCCAUCGCUCAACGGAUAAAAGGUACUCCGGGGAUAACAGGCUGAUACCGCCCAAGAGUUCAUAUCGACGGCGGUGUUUGGCACCUCGAUGUCGGCUCAUCACAUCCUGGGGCUGAAGUAGGUCCCAAGGGUAUGGCUGUUCGCCAUUUAAAGUGGUACGCGAGCUGGGUUUAGAACGUCGUGAGACAGUUCGGUCCCUAUCUGCCGUGGGCGCUGGAGAACUGAGGGGGGCUGCUCCUAGUACGAGAGGACCGGAGUGGACGCAUCACUGGUGUUCGGGUUGUCAUGCCAAUGGCACUGCCCGGUAGCUAAAUGCGGAAGAGAUAAGUGCUGAAAGCAUCUAAGCACGAAACUUGCCCCGA